Molecule: ribosomal RNA, 468 nt
Filed under: uncultured bacterium
Lineage: Bacteria
Description: partial 16S ribosomal RNA
Rfam family: Bacterial small subunit ribosomal RNA
Source: RNAcentral
GACGAACGCUGGCGGCGUGCUUAACACAUGCAAGUCGAACGGACAGGCCCUGCUUUUGUUGGGUGCUCGAGUGGCGAACGGGUGAGUAACACGUGAGUAACCUGCCCUUGACUUUGGGAUAACUUCAGGAAACUGGGGCUAAUACCGGAUAGGAGCUCCUGCUGCAUGGUGGGGGUUGGAAAGUUUCGGCGGUUGGGGAUGGACUCGCGGCUUAUCAGCUUGUUGGUGGGGUAGUGGCUUACCAAGGCUUUGACGGGUAGCCGGCCUGAGAGGGUGACCGGCCACCAUGGGACUGAGAGACGGACCAGACGGCUACGGGAGGCAGUAGGGGGGAAUAUGGCACAAUGGGCGGAAGCCUGAUGCAGCAACGCCGCGUGCGGGAUGACGGCCUUCGGGUUGUAAACCGCUUUCGCCUGUGACGAAGCGUGAGUGACGGUAAUGGGUAAAGAAGCAACGGCUAACUACGUG